This 405-nucleotide ribosomal RNA is filed under the name uncultured bacterium. RNAcentral's name for it is "partial 16S ribosomal RNA". It matches the Rfam family "Bacterial small subunit ribosomal RNA", at positions 29 to 525 of the family's 1533-position model. The record is from RNAcentral.
AUUGAACGCUGGCGGCAGGCCUAACACAUGCAAGUCGAACGAGUGGCGGACGGGUGAGUAAUGUCUGGGAAACUGCCCGAUGGAGGGGGAUAACUACUGGAAACGGUAGCUAAUACCGCAUACCAUCGGAUGUGCCCAGAUGGGAUUAGCUAGUAGGGGGGGUAACGGCUCACCUCGGCGACGAUCCCUAGCUGGUCUGAGAGGAUGACCGGCCACCCGGGACCUGGACCCCGGUCCAGACCCCUACGGGGGGCAGCGGUGGGAAUUAUGGCACAAUGGGCGAAGGCUGGAUGCGGCCAUGCGGGGUGGAUGAAGAAGGCUUUCGGGUUGUAAAGUACUUUCAGCGAGGAGACGUUACUCGCAGAAGAAGCACCGGCUAACUCCGUGCCAGCAGCCGCGGUAAUA